This is an RNA transcript of Oreochromis aureus, 4472 nucleotides long. It is a transcript of the gene named ABC transporter F family member 4-like, with no coding region annotated. The record is from RefSeq and is a predicted model, not a curated record. Lineage: Eukaryota; Metazoa; Chordata; Actinopteri; Cichliformes; Cichlidae. The transcript is spliced from 15 exons.
CGUCAGCGAGCGCACAUGUGCACACGCCGAAUAGCGAGCAUGUACUGAAGUGUAAAUAAAUAACCCGUCAAUAUUAUUUGCACUUUUUCCCGGUUUGCCAGUCGGUCCCGUCGGACAGCAUGGCCUCAGAGGAGGACGACGUGCUGCUGUUUCUAAUCUACCAGCACCUGAAGGUGAACGGCUACCAGAAAGCUGCCCAGGUGCUGGAGAAGCACGUUACCCAGGUGGAGACACCGCUGGAGAGCUCCUCCACCCUACAUGAUAUCUACACAGGCUGGAUGAAACUGUACUCCCUAGCCCAGCAUGCCAAACAGGAGUCGCAAGAGUCCAGUUACUCAAAGAAAAGCAUCAAAGCUGAGGCUGCAGACAGCAGACUCUCCACUGUCCCAGGAGGAGAUGAUGUGGAUUCCAACCCUCCACUCGAGCCCAGGCCUGAUGUUGUUGAGCCACUGAAGGCAGAGAGCAUCUCUGAGAGUGUCUGUGAGCAGCUGCCGGCUGCUGAUAAUAAAUCCCAAACAACAAACUCUGACAGCGAGAGCACCGGCUCCUCUGACAGUGAAGUGGAAGAAGAAAAGAUAAAGGAGGAAGAAACAAAAACAGAGCAAGAGUCGGCUCCAACUAAAGUGUGCGCUGAGGCGUCCAAUGAGGCAGAAAGCCUGAGCUCUGCCUCUUCAGACGCUGAGGAAAUAACUGCACCCAGCCAGGUUAACAACAGCCUGGUGUUAUCUGAUCAGGCUGAGGACCAAUCAGAGGUCCCCGAUCCAGCUGAGGCCUCAGUUUCAGGCGGUGACCUUAAAGACGAGCAUCAAGAGGGCAGUGAUGAUCUGAAGCAGGAAGCAACCACAAACACCUCAGAAGUCAUAGAAGAAGCUUCGGCGUCACAGCAGACAGAUGUUCCCACUCAGGAAGUCAGUGAAGCCGAUUCUCCAGAAGGUGAAGAAGCCACAGCAGGAGAGAUGCCCAGCCUGGUUGAGCCCACCACCUCUGGCUUGACAGCUCUGGAAACCAGUGACCAGCUAGGAGACGGUCAAGCCCCGCCCUCUGGAGACCCUGAUGGUGAAUCUCAAAAUCCAAAAGAGGAGGUGGAGGAUGACGUGGAGGAGACAAAGAAAUCUGAGAUGUCAGAGGUCGUAGCUCUUACAUCGGAGCUGGAGGGAGACACAGAGAUGUUGAAAAUCCCCGUGGACACUGGGAUCCACAGUGAUCUCUCAGCCACUCCAACUGGUAUCAAAGUCAUGUUGGUUUCAGAAGAGCGAUCGGACCCAGAGGCCUCCAUCAUCAUCAACAUCACAGUCAAAGAUGACGAAGCAGCUGAGCGAGAGACCGGCCAGCUGUCCCCUGAGGAGACUGCCGAGUCCUGUAAAGACCGCAGCAUUCCCAGGAAAAAGAAAAGGAAGAGCAAACAGGAUUUUGAGACGUCAACAGCAGACACAUCGAUCACGGACACACCCAGCAGCACUGAUGCAUCCACCCCGGAUCCACUUGCUGACACUCCUCUUCCUAGGAAGUCUGCCAAAAAGAAAAAGAGAGACAAAAAGAUACAAGAAGAGGAGGUGACAGAGGAUGGCGGAGAUCAGGAGAAUGAGGAUGAGGCGUCUCAGUUAGCUCCACCAGACAAGAAAAAGAAGGCUAAGAAGAGGAAAAGGGAAAGAGACGAAGAAGAAGAGAAGGAAGAGGAAACUCACACUGUCACUGAAAACAAAAUUAAAAAGAAGAAGAAGAAGAAGAAGAAGGCUAAAGAUGUGGAAGAGGAGGAGUGUGAGGCAGGAGGAGCAGUAGAGGAGAAGGCUGAGAAUCCUGCGAGUCUGACAGAGACAACGGAGGAGAAAAAGAAGAAGAAAAAGAGGAAAAAGGAAGGAGGUCAGGAGAACGAGGCAGUGCAAUCUGAAGAAAAACCAGCAGGGGGCAGUAAUGGCACAGAGGAGAAAAUGGAAGCCACAGAGGGAAAGACUUCUUUGGACUCCUCGGCCAAAAAGAAAAAGCGUCUCAGGAAGAAGCUCAGCCUGAAGAGGAGAUUAAAACUUCAUAAGAAGGAGAUGAUGGCGAUGAGGUUGAAGAGCAACAAGUUACCUGCAGAUCAGAACCACGUGAGGAGGAAGAAACAGAGACACAUAGAAGAAGAAACAGAGGAAGUGCUUCACCCAAAGCCAAGCAAAAGACCCAAAGUUGAGCCCAUUCAGGAGGACGAAACGCCAAAGAAGAAGAAAAAGAUGAAAAAACAUGCUGACCUAGAAGAAAAUUCGUCAAAGGAAAACCAACCUCCCAAGGCAAAGAAGGAGAAGAAGAGGGAGCUGCAGGCUGAGGAUCAGAGCGGUGUGGUAGAUGACCAGAGUGCUGCGAUUCUUGAUGAUGCCGAUACGUCGGCGCCUUCAAACGGAGGGAAGAAGAAAAAGAAAAAGAAGGCAGUUAAAUGCGAGGAAGCUGCAGAAAAUUCAGCUGUAACUGUGAGCCAAGAUGUGCCUGCUAAGAAAACAAAGAAGAGCAGACUACAGGAGAAACUAGAGGCGGAGCCUGCUGCAGACACACACACUCCUCCAGCUGUUUCUGGGAUCUGUGAAGAAGUGUUGGCACUCAUCUAGCUGCGAGGCAUUUUAAAAAAAAGAAAAAACCUUCCAAGAAGAAGACAAACUGAUUUAAAUUUGGGGCGUACUCAGGAGGAUGACUGCAACUUGGCCCUGAAAGCCUAAAAAUGUCAGCGUCUUUUCUCCCGAUUAUUCUGUCUGAGAUUCAUUUUUCCACGAGAAACAGAUUUCUGAGAGGUGCUGAGAGUAACUUCGCACUACCCUUUGUUCCUAAACUGUGAAUUUAGCACAAUACACACCCUAAAUCCCCCUUUAUUUAGCAGAUUCGGCUUUAAAGCUUUGUUGGAGGCAGACCUGCUCUGCCAGGAACAAAAAAAGCAUAGUAAUUAGUCAAAUUAUGACUUUAUUAUGCAUUUCAUUCAGCGCAGCCUUUUUAACUGGAAGCUUUUCCCAUUAAAGUCUCAUUAAAGAAAUUAUUUAAAUGAGCUGCCGUUUGAAAGAAUUCACGCAAGUGAAACAUAAAUUUCUAUUUAAAUCAAAGAAUCAGAUUAUUAACAGAAUUGCUAUUAAUUUUUUUUAAUCACAGUUUAUCUGUUUAAUCAUUUGGAGUAAAAUGGCCCUCGAGUUAGUCAGCUUGCAGUUAGUUUAAAACUGAGAGAAGAUGGGAUCUGAGGAUGUUUGGAGGCUGUGAAAGAUGAUUAAUACGUUUCGACUGCAGCUCCGUCUUUAAGUUUCAAAGCUGCAGUCUGCAUCUCCUCAGCACUGAUAAAAACUUAUGAAGGGGGAACUUUCACAGUCGUGUCUUCUUACAGUCAGAGGGGCUCACUAAACCUCCACAUCUUUGAGUUUGAGUUAGAAAUAAGCUAAUAAGGUGGGUUGAUUUUCUUUUUUGUCAGUUCUUUUCUUUUUAUGUGAACUGAUUGAUAAACCAGCAUUUGUGUUUGUUUGAGGUAGAAUAUGUAGUUUUGUUCUGAUGUGCAUAUGAUGCGAACUUUAUCGGCCAUCAGCUAUGCAACUGAUUAAAUCCCGCUGCUGUUGUUUGAGGAAUCUUUGUGCAACUUUAACUGCUUAAAUUUGCUGUUUCUAACGAUGAGCACGUUUCGAGGAUGCCGGUCGUUAAUAGCUUUAAUUCUGCAGCGGCAGUCAUUUUCUUUGUUUUCCUUCCCACACUGUUACACGUGCUGUGUUCAUGCCACAUUCACGGUGAAAGUCACACUGGGAAACUGAUCUAACUUGGCAUUAAAUUAUAAAGCAAAUGGCAUCACGUCAACACAGCAGUGUUUGUUUCUUAGGCGAUUAAACCCAAAUGUGAUGCUGUUUAUAAGGUUUGUGCUGUCAAAGCUCAGCAGGAAUCAUUUCACCUCUGCAUCCAUCAUUGCUGAUUUAAGUGCUUCUCACGUCUGUUUCACAGUCGAUCGCUUUAACCAAACCCUAAAAACUUCACAUUUUUGGAAGAAAUGUUUUGGUUGUGGUUCAGUUAUUUUGUUUCCAAUUGCAAUUUAUUUUAUUAAAACUAAUAAAGCAGACACCAAAUAAAGCACUCUGAAACUUUGGCUUUAUUUGGUGUCUGAACUUGUGAGCGAAGCAGACUCAGCUUGGAGCCGAUGCCGACAUCGAUUCUGAGAACUAUGAGGAGAAAUUAGGUUUUCCACACUCGGUGUCUGUGUUUACUCGCCGCUGGUGACGCCGUCUUUCUUUCUUUCUUACACAAACAGCCUUUUUCCCUCUGAAACAGAAAUCCAUCAAGUCAAUAGGCGGGGCAGUUUGCGAACGUCACAUGGUGACAUUCGAUAAACCAGAGUUCAAAUCUAAUUUGUCCUGAAUUAGAUUUGAGUGGGGUCAAUUUCACAAAAUCCUGUUGUGAUUUAUGGAUUAUUCCUUGGAAAAUUUUCUCAUAAUUUCCUAAACAUUUGUUGCUGUUUAAAAGAAAAAUAACAGGUAUGCUUUUUU